GACGAACGCUGGCGGCAUGCCUAAUACAUGCAAGUCGAACGCAGUGGGGACGGGUGAGUAACACGUGGGUAACCUCCCAUCAGAGGGGAUAACACUUGGCAACAGGUGCUAAACCGAUACUGAUGGAUGGACCCGCGGUGCAUUAGCUAGUUGGUGAGGUAACGGCUCACCAGGGCCACGAUGCAUAGACGACCUGAGCGGGUGAUCGGCCACACUGGAACUGAGACACGGCCCAGACUCCUACGGGUGGCAGCAGUAGGGAAUCUUGGACAAUGGACGGAAGUCUGACUGAGCAACGCCGCGUGUAUGAAGAAGGUUUUCGGGUCGUAAAGCUCUUUUGUUAGAGAAGCGGUAGCCAACGAGAAAGCCACGGCUAACUACGUGCCAGCAGCCGCGGUAAUAC
This 403-nucleotide ribosomal RNA is filed under the name uncultured bacterium. RNAcentral describes it as "partial 16S ribosomal RNA". It matches the Rfam family "Bacterial small subunit ribosomal RNA", at positions 28 to 526 of the family's 1533-position model. The record is from RNAcentral.